GUUGAGGUCUGUCCCAAUGGGGCUUUUUCUGUAGACCUACAUUGUUGGAAAUGCUUCAUAGAGUAAGUAUGUGGUUUCCUUCACUCACAGAACUAUGUGUUAGAUCUGUGAGAAAGAAUUUCCAGACAGAA
This is a small nucleolar RNA of Hippopotamus amphibius kiboko, 131 nucleotides long. The record is from RefSeq and is a predicted model, not a curated record. NCBI's taxonomy places the organism in Eukaryota, Metazoa, Chordata, Mammalia, Artiodactyla, Hippopotamidae.